Molecule: transfer RNA, 77 nt
Filed under: Desulfovibrio sp.
Lineage: Bacteria; Pseudomonadati; Thermodesulfobacteriota; Desulfovibrionia; Desulfovibrionales; Desulfovibrionaceae
Also listed under: 3 other names
Description: tRNA-Arg
Rfam family: tRNA
About the family: Transfer RNA (tRNA) molecules are approximately 80 nucleotides in length.
Source: RNAcentral
GCCCUCGUAGCUCAGUCGGAUAGAGCACAGGAUUCCUAAUCCUGGUGCCGCAGGUUCGAUUCCUGCCGAGGGCACCA